RNAcentral lists this long non-coding RNA (261 nucleotides) under Medicago truncatula (barrel medic). RNAcentral's name for it is "long non-coding RNA (MTRU_LNC000919)". The record is from RNAcentral. Lineage: Eukaryota; Viridiplantae; Streptophyta; Magnoliopsida; Fabales; Fabaceae.
GGGAGAGAGAGAGAGAGAGAAAUGAGAAGAAAGAGAUAGUAACUUUUAAAACAAAAACAAUCUCAAGAAAUCUCAUCUUUUCAUGAAAGAUUUUUUCUUGUUAAAAUUACACUACAAAAUCCCACAAAAUCCAUCAAAAUCCAAUUUAUUAAACAAUCCUUCGAAAUUUGAAUGAUUUUGAAUACCACAAAACUUUUUUUAAAUGAUGAAAAGUCUUGAUUGAAUACCUCAAGACUUUUUUAAAAUGACAAAGAGUCUUGA